RNAcentral lists this ribosomal RNA (590 nucleotides) under uncultured bacterium. Its description in RNAcentral is "partial 16S ribosomal RNA". It matches the Rfam family "Bacterial small subunit ribosomal RNA", at positions 355 to 1376 of the family's 1533-position model. The record is from RNAcentral.
UGGGGAAUAUUGGACAAUGGGCGCAAGCCUGAUCCAGCAAUGCCGCGUGUGUGAAGAAGGCCUUCGGGUUGUAAAGCACUUUUAUCAGGAGCGAAACGCUGUCGGCUAAUACCCGGCGGAACUGACGGUACCUGAGGAAUAAGCACCGGCUAACUUCGUGCCAGCAGCCGCGGUAAUACGAAGGGUGCAAGCGUUAAUCGGAAUUACUGGGCGUAAAGCGUGCGUAGGCGGUUUCUUAAGUCUGCUGUGAAAUCCCCGGGCUCAACCUGGGAAUGGCAGUGGAUACUGGGAGGCUAGAGUGUGUCAGAGGGUGGUGGAAUUCCCGGUGUAGCGGUGAAAUGCGUAGAGAUCGGGAGGAACAUCAGUGGGCGAAGGCGGCCACCUGGGACAACACUGACGCUGAGGCACGAAAGCGUGGGGAGCAAACAGGAUUAGAUACCCUGGUAGUCCACGCCCUAAACGAUGCGAACUGGAUGUUGGUCUCAACUCGGAGAUCAGUGUCGAAGCUAACGCGUUAAGUUCGCCNCCUGGGGGAGUACGGUCGCAAGACUGAAACUCAAAUGAAUUGACGGGGUCAUAGCUGUUUCCUG